GUCAUCUUUGUUGUUUUUUUGGUUUGAACUCAAUUAUAAGCUUAACAUAUUAUGUGUUCCACAGAAUGUGUUGUGCAAACUGAAGAGGAAGAUAUCACCAGAGAGGAAGGACACUAUCCAUGUCCUGACAAUGAGGUGGCAUUACCAACCCCUGAUGAUGAACACAUCCCGCCACCCGAGAGACUGGCAACACCUUUAAAAGACAUGGAUGCAUCAUCACGACAUCGUGCAGUGAGACAUUCUUCCAAUGGUAAAGCUGCCCAGAAAAGGUGACCCUGGACACAGAAAGAGGUGAAGGCUGUCGAGAAGCACAUGAAGCGAUUCAUCCCUUCUGGUAUUGUGCCAGGAAAAAGAGACUGUUUUAAAUGUUUGAGGGACGAACCGGAAGCUCUCCAAAACCGGGAAUGGCAAGCAUUGAAGUUCUAUGUGUACAACCGCAUUACGGCCUACAAAAGGAGA
Nerophis lumbriciformis (worm pipefish) is the source of this 459-nucleotide non-coding RNA. NCBI's taxonomy places the organism in Eukaryota, Metazoa, Chordata, Actinopteri, Syngnathiformes, Syngnathidae. The record is from RefSeq and is a predicted model, not a curated record.